Molecule: RNA transcript, 2738 nt
Organism: Macadamia integrifolia
Lineage: Eukaryota; Viridiplantae; Streptophyta; Magnoliopsida; Proteales; Proteaceae
Gene name: protein SUPPRESSOR OF GENE SILENCING 3-like
Exons: 10
Source: RefSeq, a predicted model, not a curated record
UUUAUCUUCCUCUCCGUUUCUUUCCACAUUUGAGUGUAUGGAGAUGAUAUUUACUUCCUGAAGAGUCCUCACUGCGCUUUCCUGAGAAUCGUUUCUUCUUCACAUAUCCGGCGGAGAAUGCAGGUUCCGGUGGCGAUCGGUAUGAGCUGAAGUUGAAUUUCUCAGGCAGCGGUACAUCCUUCUUUAAGGAGCAGAUUCUUACAUAUCAGGGACAAAGACUAAGCUGUCAUUAUUAAAAUUUUAUUCGAUACUUUGCAUUACUAAAAUGAAAUCAAAGAGGGGAGGUGGCAAUCAAUCCCUUGCUGGUGCUGUUAGUUUAUCGCCCAAGAGUAAAAGUGUGAGCCCUCAGUAUGGGAAGCCAUCUGGAGGCUCUGGUUCUGGUAACAACAGCCCCGAGGUGGACCAGCUGAGUCAUGAUGUUGCAGACAUCAGCCUGGAUGGUGCACAAGGUGGUGAGUGGGAGGUUUGUGCAAGAAAGCCCAAGAACCGGGAAGGAACUGGUACUGCAAAAGCAAAACCAUGGGGCCCUCAGAGCCCUGGUCCUAAAGCCUGGGGCCAACCAAAUACAGCACAGAAGCUUGGCCUGGCUAGUAAUGGUGGAACAGGUAGGAGUCCUGGUGAUGUGUGGCAGACACAGGUUACUGAUCCUAGGAGACCAGCUGGAAGAGGAAACCCAAAAGCCAUUUCAUCUAAUAGAGGAUGGGAGAAUGCUUACACGGCACCCCUGCCUCAUUUAUCUCCUCCUUUACAACAUAGAUGGCAGCGGUCUAGUCGUGCUGGUGGACAAGCCAGGGCUUCAGAAGAUGGCCUGGGAAAUGUUAAGAACUCUAAACCUUAUGUAGGAUCUGCUGGCGGAGAGGACAAUCAUGGGUAUGACAUGGGUUCUCGUCAUUAUCCUGUUGAUGUUGAUGAUGAUGGUGAACCAUUGGAUGAUGAUGAUGACAUAUUAAGUGAUGAUUCUGAUUCUGAUGAGAGCGCAAAAAGCCCUGAGACACUCAAAAAAAGCAAGUGGUUUAAGGUAUUCUUUGAUGCCUUGGACAAUUUGACCAUUGAACAAAUAAAUGAAUCAAUGAGACAGUGGCACUGCCCAGCAUGCAAAGAUGGCCCAGGUGGUAUUGACUGGUACCGAGGCCUGCAGCCUUUGGUCACACAUGCAAAGACAAAGGGAGCGAAAAGGGUGAAGCUCCAUCGCCAAUUUGCUGAAUUGUUGGAUGAGGAGCUGCGCGUGAGGGUAACUUCAUUUAUACCAGCUGGGGAAUCUUAUGGUAAAUGGAAAGGCCUGCAACAGACAGUUACUGAUAAGGAGAUAGUCUGGCCACCUAUAAUUGUCAUUAUGAACUCGAGACUUGAGCAGAAUGAGAAUGAUGAGUGGAUUGGAAUGGGAAAUCCGGAGCUUCUUGAUUAUUUUAGUUCAUAUGCAGCAGUCAAGGCUCAGCAUUCCUAUGUUCCUCAAGGCCACCAAGGAAUGAGUGUACUGAUUUUUGAGAGCUCUGGAAUUGGCUAUGUAGAGGCUGAGCGUCUGGAUGAACAUUUUCGUAAAGAAGGAACACAUAGGGAAGCUUGGGAGCGUCAUCGGGUACUUCUCUCUGCGGGUGGGAAACGUCAGCUGUAUGGUUUUAUGGCAUGCAAAGAAGACUUGGACAUCUUCAACAAACAUCAUGGCAAGUCAAAGCUGAAUUUUGAAAUAAAAUCUUACCAAGAAAUGGUUGUGGGCCCAAUGAAGAAAAUGAGUGAAGACAAUCAGCAAUUGAACUAUUUUAAAAAUGAGGUGGUGAAAGAACAAAGGCAUUCAAAGACUCUAGAGGAAUCAUUUGGGGUAUUGAAUGAGAAGCUGCGGAAGACUAUGGAAGAUAACCUCAUAGUGAGGCAGAGAACGAAAGUGCAGCAUGAACAAAACAAAGAAGAGUUGGACUACCAAGAGAAAUUUUUCAAGGAUCAAAUCAGUUUUAUUCAACAAUCUCUAGAGGAGAAGGAGAGAAACUUCGAGAAGCAACUACAGGAAGAACGUCAGAAAAUGAAGCAAUCAAAUCUGGAUUUCAUGUCCAAAGAGGAUCAGAAACUAAGUGGUGAUGAGAUGGGAAGAUUCAUCCAAGCCCAGGAGAAGGGGGUGGAAGAGUUUGUAGCAGAGAGAGAAAACCUGAUAAGAUUGCAUGAGACAAAGAAGGCUGAGAUAAAGAAGAGGCAUUUUGAAGAAGAGAUCGGGCUGGAGAAGGAAUUUGAAACUGCAAUGACUGAACUGAUGUCCAAAUACAUUCCAGUUCGCGCCAAGGAAGGCAAUGUCAGCAAUUCUUAGGUGUGAUGUGGUAUGCGAUGGGAACUGCCUUGGCAGUAUAUAACCCAGAAGCUUGUAAUAAAUAAAGCUCAGAACAAAGGGACAGUGAAUGAACGCUUUCGCCUUGCUUGUAGGAAUAUAGUUCUGGUGAUCUCCUAAAGAGUGUCAAGGGUGUUGUGAGUUAUGUGGUUGGCUCACUUUGAACAGUGGACGUGUUAUUGUUCGUGAAGCAUCAUUACAUUGCAGUAAUUUCAGGUGGUGGCCAUUCAUAAUUUUAUUGUACUAUUUACUAUGGUAACAGUUUCAAUUUUUCUGUCAAUGAUGUCUUAAGUAUGAUAAUUAGCUUAGCCUAGUGGUGGUAGCUUCGGCUUGAAGAACCGAUGCCCAGGGGAGGAGAUUAUGGGAUCGAAGCUUGUCACAUGCAAUUAUUUGUGGGUGUGUGUGUAGAAGUCGGUGAUCGUUGGUC